UACGUAGGGUGCAAGCGUUAAUCGGAAUUACUGGGCGUAAAGCGUGCGCAGGCGGUUUUGGAAGUCUGUCGUGAAAGCCCCGGGCUUAACCUGGGAAUGGCAUUUGGGACUGCAAGGCUGGAGUGCGGCAGAGGAGACUGGAAUUCCUGGUGUAGCAGUGAAAUGCGUAGAUAUCAGGAGGAAUACCGAUGGCGAAGGCGGCGACCUGGGCCAAUACUGACGCUGAGGUGCGAAAGCGUGGGGAGCAAACAGG
RNAcentral lists this ribosomal RNA (253 nucleotides) under uncultured bacterium. RNAcentral describes it as "partial 16S ribosomal RNA". It matches the Rfam family "Bacterial small subunit ribosomal RNA", at positions 524 to 776 of the family's 1533-position model. The record is from RNAcentral.